CGUGACUCGGGGCGCUCGCGCUUCCGCCCCGAGCUGGGGGGCGGAGCGGCCUCCACCGCGCGCAGGCGCGUUGGGCUCUGGCUGCCCGGGCCCGAGCCGGCUGGGCUGGGCUGGGACCGUUUUGCUGUCGGCGUUUCCGGUGUCCGGCAUCCGGCAGCAUCCUGGCGGGGAGGCGCGCUGAAGCUGUUGGCCAGUGGUUCGGAGGCGACAGGUGCUGAGCCAGCUGAGUCCCGGCCAGAGGGGAGAGCGUUACUUCUUGAAAGCAUAUUUUUAAACAUUUUAUUUUAGAAACCCAGACAUAGGGAAGAGUAGACAGUGUGGUGAACCGUCAUAUACUCAUCACGAUUACUCCUGAGCUGACUGCUGCCAAUCCUCCUCUUUCUGCUGAGGAAGACUGGCCCUGAGCUGACAUCUGUGCCCAUCUUCCUCUACUUUAUACGUGGGACGCCCACCACAGCAUGGCUUGAUAAGUGGUGUGUAGGUCCCUACUGGGAUCCGAACCCAUGAACCGUGGGCUGCCCAAGUAGAGUGCACAAACUUAACCGCUACACCAGCAGCCCAGCCCCAGUAAUUUGUCUAUUUUAUUGGCCUUUUCAAAGAUUACUUCUACUGAUUUUGUUUCAAGUCAUUACUGUUUUCAUUCUGACUUUCCCCCUCAAUUUCUUGAAUAGAAUAUUCAGUUCAGUUAUUUUUAUUUAAAAAUAAAAGGAUUUAAGGGUGUGAGUUAACCCCUGAGAGUAGCGCUGCCCACCGUCCUCUGGACAAUGUAACAAUGUAACAUUCUCCUUGUCCUUAAUUCCAAGGCAGUCUGAUGACAGCCUUAAUUUCCCCUCUGAGGUAAGCAUUAUGCCAGCACUCCUUGAGCCCGGCUUUGUGCAGGGGGCGGUAUUUGGCGCUUGGGAGGUAAUGGCAAGUGAAAGCAGACCAGAGCCUCUCUCAGAAGUUAGCGAGGGAAGACUGGUACUAAAGAAUUAUAAACCGUAAUAAAUGACUCUUCUGAAGCGACGAAAUAUGGUCCUGUGAACGUAUCCUAGAAGAACCUGAUCUAAACGUGGGAAGGGGAGGUGGUCAAGGGCUUCCCCAAGGAAACGACUCUUAGAAUAAGACUUGAGAACGAGCAGAAGUUAAUUAGGCAGUGUCCGAAGUCCAGCCGUGGUUCUCCUGAUACGCAUUGUUGCCCAUACCCGCCAGACUCCAGCAAUCAGCAAUCCCUGCUGUAUUCUGUGCCUUUUUUUUUGGUAAAGAUUGGCACCUGAGCUAACAACUGUUGCCAAUCUUUUUUUUUUUUUUCUUCUUUCUCUCCCCAAAGCCCCCUAGUGCAUAGUUGUAUUUUUUAGUUGUGGGCCCGUCUAGUUGUGGCAUGUGGGAGACUCAGCAUGGCCUGAUGAGUGGUGCCAUGUCCGGGCCCAGGAUCCGAACCAGCAAAACACUCAGCUGCUGAAGCAGAGCACGCGAACUUAACCACUCUGCCACGGCGCUGGCCCCUGUGUUCUGUGCCUUUUCCAUUAUAUAUUUGUAUUGCCAUCCUCCCUUCCAGUUUGGGAGGUUUUUGAUUACUCUUUCAAUCUCUUUACUUGUGAUUGAUCUAUUCAGUUUCUCUAUUUCUUCUUGAUUCAGUUUUCAGAGGUGUAUGAGUCCAAGAAUUCAGCUAUUUCUUCUAUAUUGGCCAAUUUGUUGGCAUAUAGUUUUUCGUAGUAUUCUCUUAUAAUCUUUUGUAUUUCUGUGGUAUCUGUUGUAAUUUUUCCUCUUUCAUUUCUAAUUUUAUUUGAGGCUUCUUUCUUUUUUUCUUGUGAGUCUGGCUAAGGGUUUGUCAAUUUUUUUUAUCUUCUCAAAGAACCAGCUCUUAGUUUCAUUGAUCCUUUGUACCUUUUUUUGGUUUCAAUUUUAUUUCUGCUCUAAUUUUUAUUAUUUCCCUCCUUCUGUUCACUUUGGGCUUCAUUUGUUCUUCUUUUUCUAGUUCUGUUAGGUGUGAUUUAAGAUUGCUUAUUUGAGAUUUUUCUCGUUUGUUAAGGUAGGCCUGUAUUGCUAUGAAUUUCCCUCUUAGGACUGCUUUUGCCAUAUCCCGUAUGAGAUGGUGUGUUGUAUUUUCAUUUUCAUUUGUCUCCAUAGAUUUUUUUAUUUCUCCUUUAAUUUCUUCAAUGAUCCCUUGGUUGUUCAGUAGCACGUUGUUUAGUCUCCACAUCUUUGUCACUUUACCAUCUUUUUUCUUGUAGUUGAUUUCUAGUUUCAUAGCAUUAUGGUUGGAAAAGAUGCUUGAUAUGAUUUCAAUCUUCUUGAAUUUAUUGAGGUUUGCCUUGUUUCCCAACAUAUGGUCUAUCCUUGAGGAUGUUCCAUGUGCACUUGAGAAGAAUGUGUAUUCCGAUGGUUUUGGAUGGAGUGUUCUGUGUAUCUAUUAAGUCCAUCUGGCCUAGGUUUUUCAUUUAAUUCUACUGUUUCCUUGUUGACUUUCUGUCUGGAUGAUCUAUCCAUUGAUGUAAGUGUGUUGAGGUCCCCUACUAUUAUCGUGUUGCUGUUAAUUUCUCCUUUUAGGUCUGUUAAUACUUGCUUUAUGUACUUUGGUGCUCCUGUGUUGGGUGCAUAUAUAUUUAUAAGUGUUAUGUCCUCUUAGUGGAGUGUCCCUUUUAUCAUUAUAUACUGCCCCUUUUGGUCUCUCUUUACUUGUUUUGUCUUGAAGUCUACUUUGUCUGAUAAAAGUAUGGCAGCGCCUGCCUGCUUUUGUUUGCCAUUAGCUUGGAGUAUCGUCUUCCAUCCCUUCGCUCUGAGCCUGUGUUUGUCAUUAAAGCUGAGGUGUGUUUCCUGGAGGCAGCAUAUUGUUGGGUCUUGUUUUUUAAUCCGUCCAGCCACUCUGUGUAUUUUGAUUGGAGAAUUCAAUCUAUUUACAUUUAGAGUGAUUAUUGACAUAUGAGCAGUUAAUGCUGCCAUUUUAUCACUCGUUUUCUGGUGGUUCUGUACUUCCCUUGUUUCUCGUCCUGUAUGUUUCAGACUGCCAAUUCAGUUUGGUGGCUGUCUAUGAUGGUUUUUUCAGUAUCUGUCAUUUGACUUUCUGUUCUGACUUUUUGUUUAGUGGUUACUAUGAAGUUUGUAUAAAAGAUCUCAUACAUGAGAUAGUCCAUUUUCUGAUAGCCUCUUAUUUCCUUAGUCUAAGCAAGUUCCAUCCUUUUCCUCUUUGCUGGCUAAAUUAUUGUUCUCACAAUUUAUUCUGUUUUGUGUUGUGAGUUUGUGGUUAAAAUAAAGUGAUUAUAGUUAUUUUUGAUGUUUUCCUUCCCUUUAUCUUUAAGGUUAUAAUUAAGUGUUUGCUAACCUGUUCUGAUGGAGAGCUGCAAUUUUCUCAUUUUGUCUGCCUGUUUAUUUCCUUGCUCAAGGCUUCGUAAACCCUUUCUUUCUUUUCUUUUCUUUUCUUUAUUUUCUUUCCUUUCUUUUCUUUCUUCCCUUCCUCCCUUCCUUCCUUCCUUUCUCUCUCUUUCUUUCUUUUUUUUUCUUUCAGGUAUGAGGGCCUUCUUGAUCAUUUCAUCUAGGAGACGGUCUUGUGGCAAUGAACUCCCUCAGCUUUUGUUUAUCUGGGAAAGUUUUUAUUUCUCCAUCAUCUGAAGGAUGAUUUUGCUGGAUAGAGUAUUCUUGGCUGAAAGUUUUUGUCUUUCAGAAUUUUGAAUAUAUCAUCCCACUCUCUCCUAGCCUGUAAGGUUUCUGCUGAGAAAUCUGCUGAAAGCCGGAUAGGGGUUCCUUUGUAGAUUAUUUUCUUCUGCCUUGCUGCCCUUAGUAUUUUUUCUUUGUCAUCAACUUUUGCCAGUUUUACUACUAUAUGCCUUGGAGAAGGUCUUUUUACAUUGAUGUAAUUAGGAGUUCUGUUAUCUCCUUUCACUUGUAAUUCCAUCUUCUUCCCCAGGUUUGGAAAGUCCUCAGCUAUUAUUUCUUUGAGCAAGCUCUCUGCUUCUCUCUCCCCCUCUUCCCUUCUGGAAUACCUAUGAUCCUUAUGUUGUAUUUUCUUAUUGAGUUGGAUACUUCUCAGAUAAUUUCUUCAUUUCUUUUUAGUCUUAGUUCUCUCUCCUCCAUGUGAAGCAUUUCUAUAUUUCUAUCCUCUAAAAUGGUCAUUCUGUCUUCUGUUAUAUCAGCUCUGUUAUUUAAG
This is a long non-coding RNA of Equus caballus (horse), 4123 nucleotides long. NCBI's taxonomy places the organism in Eukaryota, Metazoa, Chordata, Mammalia, Perissodactyla, Equidae. The record is from Ensembl.